UUUCCUUCCAUUUUUUCCCAAUGUCCCCAAUGUCCUCAGUGUCCCCAAUGUCCCCAAUCCCAUUUUCUCCCAAAUUUCCCUCAUUUUUCCCCAAUAUCCCCAAUGUCCCCAAUCCCAUUUUUUCCCUUUUUCCUCCCAUUUUUUCCCAAUGUCCCCAAAUAUCUCCAAGCCCCUCAAUGUCCCCAGUGUCCGAAAUGUCCCCAAGUUCUCAAUGUCCUCUUGACCCUCUGGAUGUCCCCAAUGUCCCCAAUCCCAUUUUUUCCCCAAUUUCCCCCAUUUUUUCCCAAUGUCCCUCAAUGUCCUCAAUGUCCCCAACAUCUCCAGUCCCAUUUUUUCCCUUUUUCCUCCCAUUUUUGCCCAAUGUCCCCAACAUCCCCAAUGUCCCCAGUCCCAUUUUUCCCAAAAUUUCCUCAUUUUCCCCCAACAUCCCCCAUGUCCCCAAUGUCCCCAACGUCCUCAAGUUCUCAAUGUCCUCUUGACCCUCUGGAUGUCCCCAAUGUCCCUCAAUGUCCCCAAUGUCCCCAGAUCCCAUUAUUUCCCAAAUUUUCCCCGUUUUUCUCCAAUGUCCCCAAUGUACCAAAUACCUCCAAUGUCCCCAAAUCCCCUCAAUGUCCCCAAUGUCCCAAAUGUCCCCAAUCCCAUUUUUCCCCCAAUUUCCCCCAUUUUUUCCCAAUGUCCCCAAUGUCCCCAAUGUCCUCAAUGUCCCCAAUCCCAUUUUUUCCCAAUUUCCCCCCAUUUUAUCCCAAUGUCCCCAAUGUCCUCAAGCUCCUCAAUGUCCCCAGUGUCCCCAAAUGUCCCCAAUCCCAUUUUUUCCCUUUUUCUUCCCAUUUUUUCCCAAUGUCCCCAAUGUCCCCAAUGUCUCCAGUCCCAUUUUUUCCCUUUUUCCUCCCAUUUUUUCCCAUUGUCCCCAAUGUCCCCAAUGCCUCCAAUGUCUCCAAACCCUCCAAUGUCCCCAAUCUCCCCAAUCUCCCCAGUCCCAUUUUUUCCCUUUUUCCUCCCAUUUUUCCCCAGUAUCCACAAUGUCCCCAGUGGCCCCAACAUCCUCAAGUUCUCAAUGUCCUCUUGACCCUCUGGAUGUCCCCAAUGUCCCCCAAUCCCAUUUCCCCCAUUUUUUCUCCAUUUUUCCCCCAAAUUUUCCCCAAUUUUCCCCAUUUUUUCUCGAUGUCCCCAGUGUCCCCAGUGGCCCCAACGUCCUCAAGUUCUCAAUGUCCUCUUGACCCUCUUGAUGUCCCCAAUGUCCCCAAAUCCCAUUUCCCCCAAUUUUUCUCCAUUUUUCUCCCAAAUUUUCCCCAAUUUUUCCCAUUUUUUCUCGAUGUCCCCAAUGUCCCCAGUGGCCCCAAUGUCUCCAGUCCCAUUUUUUCCCUUUUUCCUCCCAUUUUUUCCAAAUGUCCCCAAUGUCCCCAAUCUCCCCAAUGUCCCCAGUGUCCCCAAUGUCUCCAGUCCCAUUUUUUCCCUUUUUCCUCCCAUUUUUUCCCAUUUUCCCCAAUGUCCCCAAUGCCUCCAAUGUCCCUAAAUCCCCUCAAUGUCUCCAAUGUCCCCAAUCCCAUUUUCUCCCAAAUUUCCUCCAUUUUUUCCCAAUGUCCCAAGUGUCCCCAACCUCCUCAAGUUCUCAAUGUCCUCUUGACCCUCUGGAUGUCCCCAAUGUCCCCAAUGUCCCCAAAUCCCAUUUCCCCCAUUUUUUCUCCAUUUUUCCCCCAAAUUUUCCCCAAUUUUCCCCAUUUUUUCUCGAUGUCCCCAAUGUCCCCAGUGUCCCCAAUGUCUCCAGUCCCAUUUUUUCCCUUUUUCCUCCCAUUUUUUCCAA
Molecule: long non-coding RNA, 1801 nt
Organism: Chloebia gouldiae (Gouldian finch)
Lineage: Eukaryota; Metazoa; Chordata; Aves; Passeriformes; Passeridae
Source: Ensembl